GACGAACGCUGGCGGCGUGCUUAACACAUGCAAGUCGAACGGAAAGGCCCUGCUUUUGUGGGGUGCUCGAGUGGCGAACGGGUGAGUAACACGUGAGUAACCUGCCCUUGACUUUGGGAUAACUUCAGGAAACUGGGGCUAAUACCGGAUAGGAGCUCCUGCUGCAUGGUGGGGGUUGGAAAGUUUCGGCGGUUGGGGAUGGACUCGCGGCUUAUCAGCUUGUUGGUGGGGUAGUGGCUUACCAAGGCUUUGACGGGUAGCCGGCCUGAGAGGGUGACCGGCAACAUUGGGAUGGAGUAACGCCCCAGCCCCCGCGGGGGGGCAGAGGGGGGGAUGAUGGAACAAGGGGGGGAGGCUGGAGGCAGCAACCCCGGGUGGGGGAGGCGGGCUUCGGGUUUGAAAACCGCUUCCGCCUGGGACGAAGGGUGAGUGAGGGUAAGGGGUAAAGAAGCACCGGCUAACUACGUC
This 468-nucleotide ribosomal RNA is filed under the name uncultured bacterium. Its description in RNAcentral is "partial 16S ribosomal RNA". It matches the Rfam family "Bacterial small subunit ribosomal RNA", at positions 28 to 507 of the family's 1533-position model. The record is from RNAcentral.